CGGAGGCAGCAGUGGGGAAUCUUCCGCAAUGGGCGAAAGCCUGACGGAGCAACGCCGCGUGAGUGAUGAAGGCCUUCGGGUUGUAAAACUCUGUCUUCAGGGAAGAAAAAAAUGACGGUACCUGAGGAGGAAGCCCCGGCUAACUACGUGCCAGCAGCCGCGGUAAAACGUAGGGGGCGAGCGUUGUCCGGAAUUACUGGGCGUAAAGGGCGCGUAGGCGGUUUUUUAAGUCAGAGGUGAAAACUACCGGCUCAACCGGUAGCCUGCCUUUGAAACUGAGAGACUUGAGGGCAGGAGAGGGGAGUGGAAUUCCCAGUGUAGCGGUGAAAUGCGUAGAUAUUGGGAGGAACACCAGUGGCGAAGGCGGCUCUCUGGCCUGUUACUGACGCUGAGGCGCGAAAGCGUGGGGAGCGAACGGGAUUAGAUACCCCGGUAGC
This 437-nucleotide ribosomal RNA is filed under the name uncultured bacterium. RNAcentral's name for it is "bacterial SSU rRNA". It matches the Rfam family "Bacterial small subunit ribosomal RNA", at positions 343 to 794 of the family's 1533-position model. The record is from RNAcentral.